This 33-nucleotide transfer RNA is filed under the name Tephroseris palustris. RNAcentral's name for it is "partial tRNA-Phe". Lineage: Eukaryota; Viridiplantae; Streptophyta; Magnoliopsida; Asterales; Asteraceae. The record is from RNAcentral. RNAcentral also lists the same sequence under 8 other names.
UUGGGAUAGCUCAGUUGGUAGAGCAGAGGACUG